CCAGUAAUUACAGUGGAAAAUAUUUUCUAAAAAUUUACAAAAAUUUAUGAAAAAUGUUAAAAAUUAACUAUAAAGGGCAAUAACUCCUUAAGGGGUCAAUUGACUAUUUUGGUCAUGUAAACUUAUUUGUAGAUCUUAUUUUACUGAACGUUAUUGCUGCAUACAGUUUAUCUCUAUCUAUAAUAAUAUUCAAGAUAAUAACAAAAAACGGCAAAAUUUCCUUAAAAUUACAAAUUCAGGACAGUAACCUAACAACGGGUUGUCCGAUCCAUGUGAAAA
This 279-nucleotide long non-coding RNA is filed under the name Mytilus galloprovincialis (Mediterranean mussel). The record is from RNAcentral. Lineage: Eukaryota; Metazoa; Mollusca; Bivalvia; Mytilida; Mytilidae.